This 502-nucleotide ribosomal RNA is filed under the name Theileria ovis. RNAcentral describes it as "SSU rRNA". It matches the Rfam family "Eukaryotic small subunit ribosomal RNA", at positions 499 to 1035 of the family's 1831-position model. The record is from RNAcentral. Lineage: Eukaryota; Apicomplexa; Aconoidasida; Piroplasmida; Theileriidae.
UGUCUUGUAAUUGGAAUGAUGGGAAUUUAAACCUCUUCCAGAGUAUCAAUUGGAGGGCAAGUCUGGUGCCAGCAGCCGCGGUAAUUCCAGCUCCAAUAGCGUAUAUUAAAAUUGUUGCAGUUAAAAAGCUCGUAGUUGAAUUUCUGCUGCAUUGCUUUUGCUCCUUUACGAGUCUUUGCAUUGUGGCUUAUUUCGGACUUUGUUUUACAAUGUCCGGAUGUUUACUUUGAGAAAAUUAGAGUGCUCAAAGCAGGCUUUCGCCUUGAAUAGUUUAGCAUGGAAUAAUAAAGUAGGACUUUGGUUCUAUUUUGUUGGUUUUAGGUACCAAAGUAAUGGUUAAUAGGAACAGUUGGGGGCAUUCGUAUUUAACUGUCAGAGGUGAAAUUCUUAGAUUUGUUAAAGACGAACUACUGCGAAAGCAUUUGCCAAGGAUGUUUUCAUUAAUCAAGAACGAAAGUUAGGGGAUCGAAGACGAUCAGAUACCGUCGUAGUCCUACCAUAA